This is an unclassified non-coding RNA of Callithrix jacchus (white-tufted-ear marmoset), 290 nucleotides long. It matches the Rfam family "Metazoan signal recognition particle RNA". Rfam says of the family: The signal recognition particle (SRP) is a universally conserved ribonucleoprotein. It is involved in the co-translational targeting of proteins to membranes. The record is from Ensembl. Lineage: Eukaryota; Metazoa; Chordata; Mammalia; Primates; Cebidae.
GCCAGGCGUGGUAGCGUGUGUCUGCAGUCCCAGCUACUCGGGAGGCUGAGGUGGGAGGAUUGCUUGAGCCCAGGAGUUCUGGGCUAUAGUGCACUAUGCCAAUCAGGUGUCUGCACUAAGUUCAGCAUCAAUAUGGUGACCUCCCGGGAGCAGGAGACCACCAGGUUGCCUAAGGAGGGGUGAACUGGCCCAGGUUGGAAAUGGAGCAGGUCAAAACUCCCAUGCUGAUCAGUAGUGGGAUCACAGCUGUGAACAGCCACUGCACUCCAGCCUGGGCAACAUAGCGGAGU